This 251-nucleotide unclassified non-coding RNA is filed under the name plant metagenome. RNAcentral's name for it is "partial contains small subunit ribosomal RNA, internal transcribed spacer 1, and 5.8S ribosomal RNA". The stretch from base 1 to 54 matches the Rfam family "Eukaryotic small subunit ribosomal RNA", at positions 1778 to 1831 of the family's 1831-position model. The record is from RNAcentral.
GGAAGUAAGAGUCGUAACAAGGUCUCCGUAGGCGAACCUGCGGAGGGAUCAUUACAGAGUUCAUGCCCUACCGGGUAGAUCUCCCACCCUAUGUUAUUAUUACUUUGUUGCUUUGGCGGGCCGUUAGGCUCCGGCCCGACUACCGGCCCCGGCUGGUAAGCGCCCGCCAGAGGACCCAAAACCCUGAAUAUUAGUGUCGUCUGAGUACUAUAUAAUAGUUAAAACUUUCAACAACGGAUCUCUUGGUUCUG